This 253-nucleotide ribosomal RNA is filed under the name uncultured bacterium. RNAcentral's name for it is "partial 16S ribosomal RNA". It matches the Rfam family "Bacterial small subunit ribosomal RNA", at positions 524 to 776 of the family's 1533-position model. The record is from RNAcentral.
UACGGAGGUGGCAAGCGUUGUCCGGAUUUACUGGGUGUAAAGGGCGCGUAGGCGGGAUGGCAAGUCAGAUGUGAAAUACCGGGGCUUAACCUCGGGGCUGCAUUUGAAACUGCUGUUCUUGAGUGAUGGAGAGGCAGGCGGAAUUCCUAGUGUAGCGGUGAAAUGCGUAGAUAUUAGGAGGAACACCAGUGGCGAAGGCGGCCUGCUGGACAUUAACUGACGCUGAGGCGCGAAAGCGUGGGGAGAAAACAGG